UAAUAGACUAAGUUGUCUGCCAUGAGUGAGGUGGCUGGCACAGAGUUUAGAAAUUAGAGUCAUAUGGCACUUUAUUCAGCGCUGACUCUACAAACACACACCUGGCACAACCUCAACCACUCUUACAAUCCUCUCCAUGACCUGGAAAUCAGACGUGUGGUUCUCCUGCUGCCUGCUCCCUUCAGGGGAGCAGGAACUCAGACGCGUCCUCCGGGUCAGCGUCCCAAACUACUGCCCCUCCGGCGGCUCUGCUUGCUGCUCUCGGUGGCCUCAUGCGCCCUCUUGUGGCCAUUACUUGACACGGCCCCCACUCAGGGGUGGGAGGAGCUCCUUCCCUCAGCGUCUGAUCCAGUCAAUGACGGCUCAGAGGGAAAAUGGUCUGAGGCUCCCGGGGGUAAGCGUUUUGGUGAUAUGCACAUGGCUGUUUCCUACAAGUAGCGUCAGGAUGGGUGAGGCAGGAAGGUUCCAGAAUCAAUGCCCUGUCCUCAACUAUGACAGCCUGUGCCGUGGGAUGAUUCUGUGUCACAAAUCCAGCCUCCUCCCUUUGAAAAGCUCACAGACCCAUAGAGGACCAGAGCUUGCCAGCAGUCACCCAGGAUCCUGGUAACCUGACGGUGUGUUCUUGAUGGCCUGUUUAGAAACCAUGUCCAAGAACUAGAGCAUUAACUUGAAGAAAGAGGUUAAGAGCUUUCUCUCCAAUCAUUCCAAAAGUAACGCUCGUGAGACAGGCAGAAUUUUCCAGAUAAGGUGACUGCCCCAGAGAGACUGUGAUUGUCUAAGUUCUGGCCACAUUGGUACAGAAGAGCAGAUCUCUGAUUCCUUCUCUCCAGUCCUCUAGCCUGACCUGAGGAGGGGCUUUUGCUUCUGGUGGAAAGUGGUCUCUGCACAAGGCCGUAUUCCCAGCGGGAUCAGCUCAUUAGUCCCACUUGCUGAUCUUCACAGCAAUGCGCCUACUCACCAGGAGCUGCAGGUGGAAGGACCAUGUGGAGCCCAGAGCUCUGAAGGGCCAGGUCUAAUAGACCUGCAGUUCCUGUGGAGAGUGGGCUCAUAUUGGAGAGCUGGAUCUCUCGACCCCAGCCGUCUGAGAGGUGUGUGAGGUCCUCAGCAGUGCAAGAUGCAGCUGAGGGCGGGAGGAGAAGCAAGCCUGUGCUGUCACGUUCUGUUGCAGAACCCUGAAAAGUUGGCAAAUUCUAAAUCCAAGCCUGGCCUUCCAGGUUGUCAUGAAGAUAUAUAUACCAUGUUCAGAUUUCUGAAAUCGGGAAGCAUCCUACAAACCAUGACCUCUGCAUUGUGUUUCAUCAACAUUGCUGCUUCUUUGUUAGUUGUACAGUAAACGAUG
This 1339-nucleotide long non-coding RNA is filed under the name Equus asinus (donkey). RNAcentral's name for it is "lncRNA (ENSEASG00005034999.1)". The record is from RNAcentral. Lineage: Eukaryota; Metazoa; Chordata; Mammalia; Perissodactyla; Equidae.